This 1509-nucleotide ribosomal RNA is filed under the name uncultured rumen bacterium. RNAcentral describes it as "16S ribosomal RNA". It matches the Rfam family "Bacterial small subunit ribosomal RNA". The record is from RNAcentral.
AGAGUUUGAUCAUGGCUCAGGAUGAACGCUAGCUACAGGCUUAACACGUGCAAGUCGAGGGGCAGCAUUGGGAUAGCUUGCUAUUCCAGAUGGCGACCGGCGCACGGGUGAGUAACGCGUAUCCAACCUUCCCCAUAGUAGGGCACAGCCCGGCGAAAGUCGGAUUAAUUCCCUAUGUUGUCCAGAGAGGACAUCUGACCUGGACGAAAGAUUCAUCGCUAUGGGAUGGGGAUGCGUCUGAUUAGGUUGCAGGCGGGGUAACGGCCCACCUGGCCGACGAUCAGUAGGGGUUCUGAGAGGAAGGUCCCCCACAUUGGAACUGAGACACGGUCCAAACUCCUACGGGAGGCAGCAGUGAGGAAUAUUGGUCAAUGGACGGAAGUCUGAACCAGCCAAGUAGCGUGCAGGAAGACGGCCCUAUGGGUUGUAAACUGCUUUUAUCAGGGGAUAAAGUGAGGUAUGUAUACCUUUUUGCAUGUACCUGAUGAAUAAGGACCGGCUAAUUCCGUGCCAGCAGCCGCGGUAAUACGGAAGGUCCGGGCGUUAUCCGGAUUUAUUGGGUUUAAAGGGAGCGCAGGCGGACAGUUAAGCGUGACGUGAAAUGCAGCGGCUCAACCGUAUGAAGUGCGUCGCGAACUGGCAGUCUUGAGUGAGUACGAUUGUANGGCAAUUCGUGGUGUAGCGGUGGAAAUGCUUAGAUAUCACGAAAGAACUCCGAUUGCGAAGGCNGCCUNCAAGUNCCUUUUACUGACGCUAAAGCUCGGAAGGUGCGGGUAUCGAACAGGGAUUAGAUACNCCUGGUAGUCCGCCACGGUAAACGAUGGAUGCCCGCUUGUUUGCGAUAUAGUGUGAGCCGGCCAAGGGAGAGCAUUGAGACAUCCCACCUGGGGAGUACGCCGGCAACGGGGAAGCUCGAAGGAAUUGGACGGGGGCCCCGCACGAGCGGAGGAGACAUGUGGUUUAAUUCGAUGAUACGCAAGGAACCUUACCCGGGCUUGAACUGCAGCAGAACGGAUUGAGAGGAUCAUGAGGUCCUUCGGGACUGCUGUGGAGGUGCCGCAUGGUUGUCGUCAGCUCGUACCGUGAGGUGUCGGCUUAAGUGCCAUAACGAGCGCAACCCCUCUCUUCAGUUGCCAUCACUUCGGGUGGGCACUCUGGAGACACUGCCACCGUAAGGUGUGAGGAAGGUGGGGAGACGUCAAAUCAGCACGGCCCUUACGUCCGGGGCUACACACGUGUUACAAUGAGUGGUACAGAGCGUCGGCCGCCGGCAACGUCGGUCCAAUCGUAAAAUCCAUCCUCAGUUCGGACGAGGGUCUGCAACCCCACCCCAGGAAGCGGGGAUUCGCUAGUAAUCGCGCAUCAGCCAUGGCCCGGUAAAUACGUUCCCUGGCCUGUACACACCGCCCGUCAAGCCAUGAAAGCCGAGGGCGCCUGAAGUCCUUGACCGCGAGGGUGGGCCUAGGGUGAAACCGGUGAUGGGGGCUAAGUCGUAACAAGGUAACCGUA